UACGAAUGGAGCGAGCGUUGUUCGGAAUCACUGGGCGUAAAGGGUGCGCAGGCGGUCAUGAAAGUUAGAAGUGAAAUCCCAGGGCUCAACCCUGGAAUGGCUUUUAAAACUCCAUGACUAGAGUAUUGGAGAGGUUAGCGGAAUUCCGAGUGUAGAGGUGAAAUUCGCAGAUAUUCGGAGGAACACCAAUGGCGUAGGCAGCUAACUGGACAAUUACUGACGCUCAUGCACGAAAGCGUGGGGAUCAAACAGGAUUAGAUACCCUGGUAGUCCACGCCCUAAACGAUGUGUGCUAGUUGUCGGGACCUUUAGGUUUCGGUGACGCAGCUAACGCUUUAAGCACACCGCCUGGGGAGUACGGUCGCAAGAUUAAA
RNAcentral lists this ribosomal RNA (374 nucleotides) under uncultured bacterium. RNAcentral describes it as "bacterial SSU rRNA". It matches the Rfam family "Bacterial small subunit ribosomal RNA", at positions 524 to 898 of the family's 1533-position model. The record is from RNAcentral.